RNAcentral lists this long non-coding RNA (774 nucleotides) under Daucus carota (carrot). Its description in RNAcentral is "long non-coding RNA (DCAR_LNC002123)". Lineage: Eukaryota; Viridiplantae; Streptophyta; Magnoliopsida; Apiales; Apiaceae. The record is from RNAcentral.
UAUUAAGUUAAUUCACUCUCGAAUUAAUUUAAUUUAUGAAUUUAUAUGAUUAACUUAAUUAAGUGAAUAAUUUUCUAUUUUAAAUAUAUGUCAAAUUACAUUCAAUCAUCCACUCAAGCUCAGCAAGACAAUCUGAGAUUGUCUUACCGAAUAUUUCAAGCUGCCAAGACAAAACAGAUUGUCUGACCGAAGCUUUGCCUGCAAGACAAUUAAGUUUGUCUGACUGAAGCUUCCAUGACAAUUCUUAAUUGUUUGACCGAAUGAUACUCAGCAAGACAAUCGAGAUUGUCUGCCCGAAUAUGCAUUGCCAAGACAAUCCUGAUUGUCUAACCGAGGAAAUGCCUGCAAGACAAUUCCUGAGGCGUUCAAGACAAUCUUGGAUUGUCUGACCGAAUGCACCUGCCAAGACAAUUGGAUUGUCUGGCCGAAAGAACAAUCCUGCCAAGGCAAUUUAAUUGUCUUACCGAAGUUCUGGAUUGUCUUGCUAGCUAUAAUAAUUGUCUUACUGCUUUGUCUUGUGCUUGCAAGGCAAUCUGUAAUUGUCUUGCCCUUUCCACUUUGUCUUUGCUACUUACAAUUGUCUUGUCUUUCAAUUGUCUUACAAGUACAAAUGCUUUGCCUAUAAAUAUGGCUUUGCAUUCUUCAUUUUUAGUGUUCAUCACUUUGUAAUUCAAAGCAUUUGUAAAGCUUUCAAGUUGUUCGUAACUUGCUUGAUCGUUAUAUCCACAGUUUUCUGUGCUUUGAUAACCCGGUUGUUUUAAUCACUAAAAUCUA